Long non-coding RNA from Gasterosteus aculeatus aculeatus (three-spined stickleback), 1022 nucleotides. NCBI's taxonomy places the organism in Eukaryota, Metazoa, Chordata, Actinopteri, Perciformes, Gasterosteidae. The record is from Ensembl.
AGAAGAUUCAUUUUUUUUUUCUCCAUUGAACAUCAACAAAGCCGAGGGGAAAAGAGUGAGCGGCCCAAAUCUGUCGACCCAUCAUCGCGGGGAACUUUAAUUUGGUGGGGCGAGUGGUCUGCGGGGUAGACGGGUGGUGCUUGGACCUCAUCUCCCAGGAAGCUCUCUGCGCUCCAGAAACAUGAGCUCGCAGCCCGUUUAAGACAAUGAGGGAAACACGUGAGACUCCGGCACACGGCGGCUAAAGUUACCUCCUCGCUCUGAACUUUUGGCCCCGGGUGCAAAGCCUCCCCUCCCUUAUGACUCCUGCAGUGCUCCACCUGUCUCCUCGCUCUCAUUCCUCCCUUCGUUCGGUACCUACCUUCAUCUUGCGUCUCAUUGCGCAACUUUAUCGACUGGCAGGUUUGUGUCUUUCGACAAAGCCGCUGUUUAUUUCAGUCCGUAUACAGUUCUACUGGCCUCUACUACUCCUUCCCGUGUCACAGGUCAGGGAUGACGAACGAUCGUUUGAGCGAAUCGCUCAUCGGGGGGAUUCCUCCGCUUUUGUACGAUUGUUUGUUUGCUGUCGGUGCCUCCAGACGAAUGGCUGGCAGGGCCCCCGCCAUCAGAUCUCCAUCCAUCCGCAGUCCACGCGGGGAACUCUUUCCGCCAGCCAGGAAAAACCUGACUUUCAAGUCUCCCACCCACACCUAUUGGACCGCUCUCCUCUCACCUGUGCAAAUAUGAAAGAGGGAGAUGGAGAGAGGGAGGGAGGGUGGAAAGGAGUGAAAUGGAAAGAUAUCCCAGCCUUUGGUUAUUGGGUGGGGCGCAGAAAAGAAUACCACGCAGCUGAGCAAACCUCCGUACCCAUCGGACCUCACCUGUACACUUCUCUCUCUCUCUGUGUCCCUUAAUCCAUUCUCUGUUUCUGUAACCGGCCCCACAGCGAUGGGGGUUUAAGGCGUUCUUUUAUGGCCUCUGAAUAGAGAUUUCCUUUGAGGUUAUGGAGUCGAUACACUCUCCGACGUCACUUUUGUGCCGUG